Scaptodrosophila lebanonensis is the source of this 1488-nucleotide RNA transcript. RefSeq lists it as uncharacterized. The transcript has 8 exons. NCBI's taxonomy places the organism in Eukaryota, Metazoa, Arthropoda, Insecta, Diptera, Drosophilidae. The record is from RefSeq and is a predicted model, not a curated record.
AGUAUUUAAACAACAUUUCAUAAACAACUAAAUUAAAAUGUGUAUAAUAGUCGAUCAUUGUUGUUGCACCAGCUGCAAUGCCAGUCUACGUUUUGGGUGUAUUUUCUAUGUCAUUUGGUCGAUUGUUUGGAGAAUAUUAUCAAUGGCGUCAACAUUCAUACCACAAGAAUCGACAGAUUAUAGUACUUCUUCGUCGUCAUGGAGAAUUAUAUUAAUUCUCGUGAAUGUGAUUUGUCUGAUUGGCCCUAUUUGUUUGUUAAUUGGACUCUUCAAGGACAUCAAAGUACUAGUCGUCGUAUCUAUAGUAGUUACAUAUCUGGUUGUGGCAUUUCAUCUUAUAAAUUUUCUGGUUGUGCCCAUAAUUAUGAUUAUAUCGUCUUCAGAAAUUAGUAAAGGUGCAGCUGUGGGUUCGUUUAUUUUUAUGUUCCUUGCAAUAUGUUGCCCCUUAUGCGCUUUCGAAGUGUAUAUGGCUAUUGUGCAAUAUUCAUAUUUAAAAACCGAAAUGUAGAGCAGUGGAAGCCAUCUUCAGAUCCCGAUACUAUAUACCAAACCGUAAGUUAAACAAAAAUUUAAUUGGGUAAAGGGAGUCAAAGGAACUGUGAGAGCCCACCAUUUGCUAAAUGUCUACCAAAUAAAGGCGGAUCAAGGGCACAACAUACGGAAAAGUUGCAGACCGUUAAGGACCAAAAUGUUGUUUGCAAAACAAUACGUCCUUAGUGUUUCUGAGGCCAGACCCUACUCCAUAUGCCGAUCUCAAACUGAUGACGCUCCCGCCCUUACCCUUCCUAAAAUUGUUAGGAAGGUCUACCACAACUGCAGAACCUACUCCAACUGCUCUCCGUUACAAGACGAGUCUCUCUCUCUCUCCAUACUAGAGCUAUUACGACUACAGAUGCGGAUUUUAUGUUCUGUUCGAUUGAGAGCGUCCAAUCAAUGGUUUCCAAAAUAUAUAUGGCUAUUAUGCAAUGUUUAUAAUUAAUUGGGAAUAAGGCCCUUUUAAAAUACACAGUUCGCUGCGUAAGUUCGAAACAAAUAUCUGGCAUGGCCGUCGAUAUCGGCAGAAUACGUUAGUCGGAUCCGCUUCCAAAAAUAAAGGUGACAAAAGACAUAACAGUUGUGAAUUGGGCGACGACGACGACCUAUGUCGACCAAUACAGUGAUGGCAAUAUGGGGCUUCGCAAUAACGAAAAUACCGAGUGGUUAGUAAUGCGAUUUAGCUGGAUAAAGGACAGCCGCAGCCUAACCAUCCAACCAACCAAGCCAAGUCAAGCAACAACUACCAAAGCGGAUUGUCGCUUUUGUGUAUGUUGUGUGUGAUGUGCCCACAAUAUGGCAAAAAUAGUGCAACGAAAUUCCAAACAGACCUCAACAUUGGCAGAAAUGCAGUCAAAAAAAAAAAGAAGAUAGCCGUUCGUUGAAAUGAAUUAUAAAUCUGUUUUGUGUCGAUCUUUAAAAAAUAUUUGGAAUAAGAUAUAGUGUAGAAAAAUA